CCUACGGGGUGCAGCAGUAGGGAAUCUUCCACAAUGGGCGAAAGCCUGAUGGAGCAACGCCGCGUGGGUGAAGAAGGUCUUCGGAUCGUAAAACCCUGUUGUUAGAGAAGAAAGUGCGUGAGAGUAACUGUUCACGUUUCGACGGUAUCUAACCAGAAAGCCACGGCUAACUACGUGCCAGCAGCCGCGGUAAUACGUAGGUGGCAAGCGUUAUCCGGAUUUAUUGGGCGUAAAGGGAACGCAGGCGGUCUUUUAAGUCUGAUGUGAAAGCCUUCGGCUUAACCGGAGUAGUGCAUUGGAAACUGGGGGACGUGAGUGCAGAAGAGGAGAGUGGAACUCCAUGUGUAGCGGUGAAAUGCGUAGAUAUAUGGAAGAACACCAGUGGCGAAGGCGGCUCUCUGGUCUGUAACUGACGCUGAGGUUCGAAAGCGUGGGUAGCAAACAGGAUUAGAUACCCCAGUAGUC
Molecule: ribosomal RNA, 465 nt
Filed under: uncultured bacterium
Lineage: Bacteria
Description: partial 16S ribosomal RNA
Rfam family: Bacterial small subunit ribosomal RNA
Source: RNAcentral